UGUUACUUAUAAUUAAUGAAUUUUGGACUAGUAAUAAUAAUGAAAUUUAAUGGAUUUGGCGGCAAGAUAGCCAUUUAGAGGAACCUGCCCUGUAAACGAUGAACCACGAAUAAUUUUACUUUUAUUUGUAUUCAGUUUGUAUACCGCUGUUGUCAGUUAGUUUCUUUAGAAAACUUUCGUUCAUGAUAAGAUCACAGACUUCAAGUAAAGGUGCAGCUUAUAUAAAAGAGAGAGGUGGGUUACAUUUAAAAGAUUAAUAGCGGAUAAAAAUAUGAAAUAUUUUUUGAAGAUGGAUUUAAUUGUAAAGUUUAAAAAAACUUGAUGAGAGCUCUAUUUUGU
This 339-nucleotide ribosomal RNA is filed under the name Balanus sp. 1 MPL-2014. RNAcentral describes it as "partial 12S ribosomal RNA". The record is from RNAcentral. RNAcentral also lists the same sequence under 1 other name. Lineage: Eukaryota; Metazoa; Arthropoda; Thecostraca; Balanomorpha; Balanidae.